Molecule: non-coding RNA, 554 nt
Organism: Danio rerio (zebrafish)
Lineage: Eukaryota; Metazoa; Chordata; Actinopteri; Cypriniformes; Danionidae
Source: RefSeq, a predicted model, not a curated record
AAACGCUCCAAACAUCUCCUGCAGAAGCUGUGGCUACAAGGCAGGAGCACCGGAUCCUGGAAGAUCUCGCAGCACACUGGACAGGACAGAUCCUCUUCGGGCAGGCUUGUGGACAUCUUCUCUUCUAGCAGCUGAAGAGAAGGAGUGGUUUGAGCACACUCGACUAGUAAAACUAGAAGUGUUUUGAGUGAUCGGAAGAGCUGGUGACUGAACAUCCUCAUGCUUCAGUCUGUUCCUGGAGUCUGAUUUGAAUAGUAGGUGUGGUUUCACUGUUUACAUUUCUGCUAUGUCAUAUUAAAUGUAUUAUUAAUGCACUGUGUCUGUGUGUUUAUGUUUAUGCAGAGUUGAUGUGUAUUUAAUGUCUUAAUGCCAUAAAGACAUUUUAGUAUUUUUUUAUUAAAUGCAGUUGGAAUUCCUUGAGUGUUUCAAAUGCAAUCUGUAAAAAUAAAGCAAAUAAACAUCAGCAUGAUAAUGUUUCAUUGCAUUUUAGUAUUUAGGAGAACAACAAAUGUUAUGUUUAUGCAUCAUGACUUAAAUUAAAUUGUAAUCGUUUA